CCCUUAGAUGUCCUGGGCCGCACGCGCGCUACACUGAUGCAUUCAACGAGUUUUACCUUGGCCGAGAGGCCUGGGCAAUCUUUUAAACCUGCAUCGUGAUAGGGAUAGAUUAUUGCAAUUAUUAAUCUUGAACGAGGAAUUCCUAGUAAACGCAAAUCAUCAAUUUGCAUUGAUUACGUCCCUGCCCUUUGUACACACCGCCCGUCGCUACUACUGAUUGGAUGUUUAAGCGAGGUUCUCGAACUGCUAGCGACUUAGCUUCGGUGAGGUCGCAGUGUGGGAAGUGAACCUAGCUUUGGUGUCUAGAGGAAGUAAAAGUCGUAACA
This 326-nucleotide ribosomal RNA is filed under the name uncultured eukaryote. RNAcentral describes it as "partial 18S ribosomal RNA". It matches the Rfam family "Eukaryotic small subunit ribosomal RNA", at positions 1470 to 1796 of the family's 1831-position model. The record is from RNAcentral.